UCGACGGAGCGCCGGACACGGACUAUUUCGGUAGGAAGCGUGCGGAGGCUUAGUGGCGGACGGGUGAGUAACGCGUGGAUAACCUGCCGCAUACCGGGGGAUAACAGCUGGAAACAGCUGCUAAUACCGCAUAUGCCCGCAGUGCCGCAUGGCACAGCGGGGAAAACUCCGGUGGUAUGCGAUGGGUCCGCGUCUGAUUAGGCAGUUGGCGGGGUAACGGCCCACCAAACCGACGAUCAGUAGCCGGCCUGAGAGGGCGGACGGCCACACUGGGACUGAGACACGGCCCAGACUCCUGCGGGAGGCAGCAGUGGGGAAUAUUGCACAAUGGGGGAAACCCUGAUGCAGCGACGCCGCGUGAAGGAAGAAGUAUCUCGGUAUGUAAACUUCUAUCAGCAGGGAAGAAAACAGACGGUACCUGACUAAGAAGCCCCGGCUAACUACGUGCCAGCAGCCGCGGUAAUACGUAGGGGGCAAGCGUUAUCCGGAUUUACUGGGUGUAAAGGGGGCGCAGACGGCCAUGGCAAGCCCGGUGUGAAAGGCAGGGGCAUAACCCCUGGACUGCACUGGGAACUGUCAGGCUGGAGUGCCGGAGGGGUAAGCGGAAUUCCUGGUGUAGCGGUGAAAUGCGUAGAUACCAGGAGGAACACCGGCGGCGAAGGCGGCUUACUGGACGGAAACUGACGUUGAGGCCCGAAAGCGUGGGGAGCGAACAGGAUUAGAUACCCUGGUAGUCCACGCCGUAAACGAUGUAUACCAGGUGUCGGAUAUCAAGGAUAUCCGGUGCCGAAGCAAACGCAUUAAGUAUACCACCUGGGGAGUACGUUCGCAAGAAUGAAACUCAAAGGAAUUGACGGGGACCCGCACAAGCGGUGGAGCAUGUGGUUUAAU
RNAcentral lists this ribosomal RNA (891 nucleotides) under uncultured bacterium. RNAcentral's name for it is "bacterial SSU rRNA". It matches the Rfam family "Bacterial small subunit ribosomal RNA", at positions 62 to 950 of the family's 1533-position model. The record is from RNAcentral.